RNAcentral lists this ribosomal RNA (570 nucleotides) under uncultured bacterium. RNAcentral's name for it is "bacterial SSU rRNA". It matches the Rfam family "Bacterial small subunit ribosomal RNA", at positions 275 to 841 of the family's 1533-position model. The record is from RNAcentral.
GACGAUGCGUAGGGGUUCUGAGAGGAAGGUCCCCCACAUUGGAACUGAGACACGGUCCAAACUCCUACGGGAGGCAGCAGUGAGGAAUAUUGGUCAAUGGCCGGAAGGCUGAACCAGCCAAGUCGCGUGAGGGAAUAAGGCCCUACGGGUCGUAAACCUCUUUUGUCAGGGAGCAAGGCCGCCCACGUGUGGACGGAAGGAGAGUACCUGGAGAAAAAGCAUCGGCUAACUCCGUGCCAGCAGCCGCGGUAAUACGGAGGAUGCGAGCGUUAUCCGGAUUUAUUGGGUUUAAAGGGUGCGUAGGCGGCCUGCCAAGUCAGCGGUAAAAUUGCGGGGCUCAACCCCGUACAGCCGUUGAAACUGCCGGGCUCGAGUGGGCGAGAAGUAUGCGGAAUGCGUGGUGUAGCGGUGAAAUGCAUAGAUAUCACGCAGAACCCCGAUUGCGAAGGCAGCAUACCGGCGCCCUACUGACGCUGAGGCGCAAAAGUGCGGGGAUCAAACAGGAUUAGAUACCCUGGUAGUCCGCACAGUAAACGAUGAAUGCUAGCUGUCCGGGGGGAUUGACCCCUG